UUCUUUUAUGUAAUAUGCAGUUUUUCGGAUUCAAAAAUGCAUUUUCUCAGAGGUUACUGAGAGAAUUUGUAGCAAAUGUUGGUGGAACUACAGAACAGAGUUCGUCACCAACUAAUUUGCUGACUGAACCUUCCGAUACAGUAUAUGGAAUACAAUGCACAGAAUCAAAUAAAUAUCCUGAUUUGCAGCCAUAUUUGGAAAAGCUACAAGUUACAGGGAAGAGAAGUAGGAGAGACAAAAGUAUUAACAUUAAGCUUCUUACUGAGGCAAAUUCUAAACAACGUCAACCUCAAAAUUGUAUGCAGAACGCUGAUGCUUCAAAUUCUAGACAAAAGGAUCAAAGAAAUCUUAAUGGCUGCAGUCCUUCAACUUGAAGUAUGGCCUGCAGCUCUAGUAAUAGUCCAGGAGUAAUAAUAGGACCAAACUUGGCAGUCGUGGUUGAGAAGGAAACUUGUUUGUUUUCAGCAGAAAGAAAACUGCAGUCAGAGUCUAUGGAUAUUUCUGAUCAUCUUAAAUUAGGAGGCCUCCCCCAAGCAAGAGAGCUUAUUAGUUCUUAAAAUUAUUUGAGCACAAAGGCUGAUAACUUGCCAAAAGGCGAUGAACUUGUUGUUGGGAAUCUACUUAUACAUGCAAAG
RNAcentral lists this long non-coding RNA (635 nucleotides) under Olea europaea subsp. europaea. The record is from RNAcentral. Lineage: Eukaryota; Viridiplantae; Streptophyta; Magnoliopsida; Lamiales; Oleaceae.